GAUGAACGCUGGCGGCGUGCCUAAUACAUGCAAGUCGAGCGAACAGACGAGGAGCUUGCUCCUCUGACGUUAGCGGCGGACGGGUGAGUAACACGUGGAUAACCUACCUAUAAGACUGGGAUAACUUCGGGAAACCGGAGCUAAUACCGGAUAAUAUAUUGAACCGCAUGGUUCAAUAGUGAAAGACGGUUUUGCUUUCACUUAUAGAUGGUUCCGCGCCGCAUUAGCUAGUUGGUAAGGUAACGGCUUACCAAGGCGACGAUGCGUAGCCGACCUGAGAGGGUGAUCGGCCACACUGGAACUGAGACACGGUCCAGACUCCUACGGGAGGCAGCAGUAGGGAAUCUUCCGCAAUGGGCGAAAGCCUGACGGAGCAACGCCGCGUGAGUGAUGAAGGUCUUCGGAUCGUAAAACUCUGUUAUUAGGGAAGAACAAAUGUGUAAGUAACUAUGCACGUCUUGACGGUACCUAAUCAGAAAGCCACGGCUAACUACGUG
This 497-nucleotide ribosomal RNA is filed under the name uncultured bacterium. Its description in RNAcentral is "partial 16S ribosomal RNA". It matches the Rfam family "Bacterial small subunit ribosomal RNA", at positions 28 to 507 of the family's 1533-position model. The record is from RNAcentral.